UGGCGAACGGGUGAGUAACACGUGAGUAACCUGCCCUUGACUUUGGGAUAACUUCAGGAAACUGGGGCUAAUACCGGAUAGGAGCUCCUGCUGCAUGGUGGGGGUUGGAAAGUUUCGGCGGUUGGGGAUGGACUCGCGGCUUAUCAGCUUGUUGGUGGGGUAGUGGCUUACCAAGGCUUUGACGGGUAGCCGGCCUGAGAUGGUGACCGGCCACAUUGGGACUGAGAUACGGCCCAG
This 237-nucleotide ribosomal RNA is filed under the name uncultured Actinomycetales bacterium. RNAcentral's name for it is "partial 16S ribosomal RNA". It matches the Rfam family "Bacterial small subunit ribosomal RNA", at positions 96 to 334 of the family's 1533-position model. The record is from RNAcentral. Lineage: Bacteria; Bacillati; Actinomycetota; Actinomycetes; Actinomycetales.